UGGCGGCGCGCCAGGCUUCGGUCUCGGCGUCGGGUGAGGGCCGGGGCCACCGGUGAGAGGCCGUGCUGAGGAUGCAGUUGUCUGUUUCUCCCCUGGGGAUACCGUUUACUGCACCCACCUCAGGCUUGAGUGGGUUGUCUCUGCCUGGCCUCACUCUCCUCGCAGCGUGGGGGCAAAAAGGGAUGGUUGGAGCACUUGCUGACUGUGGACAGGUGCUGCCACAGCUGAAGGUAGAGAGGCCAGAUUAAAGGUAAAGAAGAAGAAAUCAAAGGCCAUCUGGCCAGGAGCUGCCUCCUGUUACAGGCAAGAGAGAGCCUGUCUUUCCGGGUGAGGAAGGAUCCCCCUUUGUAGUUCUCGGCAGGUCAGACCGCCAGCGUGCACCACAGGGUCUGUGGAGGACAGCCAAGCGACCGGAGUUACAGAAGAGGAGGGGAGGAGAGAAGGAGAAAGAAGCGUCUGAACUGGCAAAUUCUCCCAGCAGCGCCAAGAGUGAGAGCUGCGUGUCCUGCGCCCUGCUCCUCAUUUUUGGCAGCCUCCACCUCUGCCCAGCAGCCCAUCACUCCAGGAGCUGACUGACCGACUGACUAUCCAUUCCCCACUGGACUGACAAGCGCAGCUCCGGAAACGACUGCUGAGGUGUCCCAGGGGCAGGGGGAGCGCUGGGGGCUCUGAGCCCUGGAGCAGACUCGCUCCCGGGACUUGGUACAUGCAUGACUGAAUAAACACUUGCUGUCUCCUUUGCCCUUCUGGCUGUGUUUGCUCU
Gymnogyps californianus (California condor) is the source of this 763-nucleotide long non-coding RNA. RefSeq lists it as uncharacterized. The record is from RefSeq and is a predicted model, not a curated record. NCBI's taxonomy places the organism in Eukaryota, Metazoa, Chordata, Aves, Accipitriformes, Cathartidae. The transcript is spliced from 4 exons.